RNAcentral lists this ribosomal RNA (466 nucleotides) under uncultured bacterium. Its description in RNAcentral is "partial 16S ribosomal RNA". It matches the Rfam family "Bacterial small subunit ribosomal RNA", at positions 28 to 507 of the family's 1533-position model. The record is from RNAcentral.
GACGAACGCUGGCGGCGCGCCUAACACAUGCAGGUCGAACGAGCGAGAGAGAGCUUGCUUUCUCGAGCGAGUGGCGAACGGGUGAGUAACGCGUGAGGAACCUGCCUCAAAGAGGGGGACAACAGUUGGAAACGACUGCUAAUACCGCAUAAGCCCACGGGUCGGCAUCGACCAGAGGGAAAAGGAGCAAUCCGCUUUGAGAUGGCCUCGCGUCCGAUUAGCUAGUUGGUGAGGUAAUGGCCCACCAAGGCGACGAUCGGUAGCCGGACUGAGAGGUUGAACGGCCACAUUGGGACUGAGACACGGCCCAGACUCCUACGGGAGGCAGCAGUGGGGAAUAUUGCACAAUGGGGGAAACCCUGAUGCAGCGACGCCGCGUGGAGGAAGAAGGUCUUCGGAUUGUAAACUCCUGUUGUUGGGGAAGAUAAUGACGGUACCCAACAAGGAAGUGACGGCUAACUACGUG